CUUAUUAAAUGAUUUCUUCAUGCCAGGACCCUUGUGAAAGGAAAUAGGACUGCUUCUGAUUAUGUGGAUAUCUGAAUAACCAUAAGGAUCCCAAGGAAUGAUACGACUUUGAAAUCUUAAAAAAUGGAUGAUUAUAGAAAAUGGAAGAGAAGACUAAAGGAAGGGAUUGAACAUAGACAUAACAAAUUGAGAACUCAGUCUAGUGGAGGAGGGGAUGCAGUGAAGAGCAUUCACAGGGGGUAAAAUAUGUAUUUCACCAAUAAUGAAACAUACAACACCACUCUGAAAACAUGAAAGGCUUUGUGGGAGCUUCAAACAAAAGGAAAGUAUAAAGUCAACUUAUCAUUAAAAUGCCUUUCUUUCUCUUGGUCCUUGCAUACAUUACUUGAAAAUCUCACUGAGGUUGUAAUGGCGGUCCCUUUUAUUUUUCAAGGAAAUAUGUGUUUUUAUCCCACAAUCAAUUUACUACCAUCCUUGAUUUUUCUGUGACAUCCCAGCAACCAUUGUAAUUUCUCCCUCACUGUGAACCAGCUGUCCAUAAUUGCAUCCAAUAGUGGGUGAACCAAAAAUCUCUCUACAGAUUCCAGAGACUGCCUAAGGGAACAACAGUAGAAAAUAAUUAAAGCAUGAUUUAAAAAUAGUUUUCUGGAACGUUUUCCCUUGAUUAACUUUGAGCACGUUUUGAGGGUAAGAGAUUUCUUGGUUCUCUAUCAGCUGCUUUCCCUGUCAGUUCUUCUGUAUAGUACUGAAUAACCACUAGUCUGUUUAUUUUCUGUGUUCUAGGUAAAAGUUUAUCCUUUUAAAACUUAGUUAAUUUAAUGCCUUGAAGAUUGUUGAAAUUCUUGCUGGUAGCAAAGUAUAAAAUUCAAACGUGUCUUUAUGCCUUACAUAAUGUCUGUUUGGCUACUUAAGUAAUU
This 917-nucleotide long non-coding RNA is filed under the name Monodelphis domestica (gray short-tailed opossum). Its description in RNAcentral is "lncRNA (ENSMODG00000046910.1)". Lineage: Eukaryota; Metazoa; Chordata; Mammalia; Didelphimorphia; Didelphidae. The record is from RNAcentral.